This is a long non-coding RNA of Lotus japonicus, 951 nucleotides long. RefSeq lists it as uncharacterized. NCBI's taxonomy places the organism in Eukaryota, Viridiplantae, Streptophyta, Magnoliopsida, Fabales, Fabaceae. The transcript is spliced from 5 exons. The record is from RefSeq and is a predicted model, not a curated record.
UCACAAAUUGAAUUCGCUCCAUUUUCCAAUUUCGCGAGCCCGAUUUCUCAUCAAUCUUCAUCCUUCGCUUGUCUCGGAGACGGAGAUCUUCAUUUUCUGCAUCAAAUUGCACACUUAUAAAUGGCGUGUGAAGACGCUCUGAAUGUAAAGGAUGACAUGCGAACCACAAUUGCCAACAGCAAACCGUUCCUGCUAUUACUUCUAAUUUUGAACUUCUGAGCAAGUGGCAAGAAACUAGGACAUCUAUUGCUGAAGAAGACAUUAACUUUGUUUGGAGGGUAUAGCUUACAGUUGCUACAAUCAAGAACAUGUAAGGCACAAGGAAUGAGGAAGUGCUUUGAAGAGAUUGUGUUCUCCUUUACUUAUCUCCAGGCUUCAUAUUUAUGGCUCAUUUUUCUUGUGUCUUUGUUGUCUGUAUUUUUCAGGUUUUGAAACAUUUGAAUCAUCUGCUGCACGCAUGCACCAUUCUAUGUUCCACCCAAAAACAGUGAAUAAGGAAAGAAAGUGUAUUAUUGGAGGAGAGCAGCAGUAAAGUGAAGAAACAGAAACGCAACGCGUGGAAAGGUUUAAGGUUUGUAGAAGCGAAGAGAAGAGAACAUGGUUGUUGACUAUGAAAAAGGUGUAUUUUGGCAGUAUAUGAUUAUGAUAUUUAAAUGCCAGAUGGCAGUAUACGGAGAAGGGUAGGUUUGCGACGCGCCACGCCCACGCCAUCCCUUCUGUUUAAUGCCGUUCGCCACCUGUCGCCUUAUCUUUUUGGGCUAUGCUCAAUUUCUCGUGAAAUUCCUUCUCUCUUGGAUGAUUGCCCUCACCCAAUGUGAUAUUAGAGCAUCUCCAAUGCAUAGUUGCUAGUUGGGUUGCUUAAAAAAUAUUUCGGUGGGUCCAGACUGACACAUAGGAUUUAAGCAACCCAAGCAGAAUUCGCUCCAACCACGAUUACUUAGUUUACUUUUA